Marmota monax (woodchuck) is the source of this 110-nucleotide small nucleolar RNA. RefSeq annotates it as small nucleolar RNA ACA64. NCBI's taxonomy places the organism in Eukaryota, Metazoa, Chordata, Mammalia, Rodentia, Sciuridae. The transcript has a single exon. The record is from RefSeq and is a predicted model, not a curated record.
GACCCUCAAAAUUUAAAAAGGGCUAUGGCUGUGGGUGACAUUUGUUGUCCAGUUUUCAGCUCACUGUCCACUGCCUGGUGUGGAUGGGUGAAACCCAGGGCCUCUCAGUU